UCCGAGUUGACCCCGGCGGUCUCCCGUGAGUCCCCAACUAAAUGCUGGCAACAUGGAACGGGGGUUGCGCUCGUUGCGGGACUUAACCCAACAUCUCACGGCACGAGCUGACGACAGCCAUGCACCACCUGUGAAGGUGUCCCGAAGGAAAACCGUGUUUCCACGGCGGUCACCUACAUGUCAAGCCCAGGUAAGGUUCUUCGCGUUGCAUCGAAUUAAUCCGCAUGCUCCGCCGCUUGUGCGGGCCCCCGUCAAUUCCUUUGAGUUUUAGCCUUGCGGCCGUACUCCCCAGGCGGGGCGCUUAAUGCGUUAGCUGCGGCACGGAGGCCGUGGAAGGACCCCCACACCUAGCGCCCAACGUUUACGGCGUGGACUAC
This 377-nucleotide unclassified non-coding RNA is filed under the name uncultured Actinomycetes bacterium. RNAcentral describes it as "uncultured actinobacterium contains 16S-23S intergenic spacer region". The record is from RNAcentral. Lineage: Bacteria; Bacillati; Actinomycetota; Actinomycetes.